GUGAUCUGCUGACGUAUUUAUACGUUUAAUAGGUUUUCGCAUCAAAAGAGCGUCAGCGUCACAGAACGGCAAAUAAGCCAGAACUAGUUUCUGUGUAGUCGUCAACAAAGCAAGAUCACAAUAAUUUUAAAGAAUUUAUAAAAUUCGUGUUUGAACUACUAUUAUUUUGGUCAAUUAUUAAAUUAGCCAAUUUUCACAAGCUGAAACUUUAUUGUUUAUCAUAUUGUUUCUUAAAACAACUCUCGGCGAUUUCUCCAUUACGAUUUGCAAACCAGUUUUAUAUCCUGCCCGUUGUUUCUGCAGAAAUUAUUCGCUAAGAAACGCCGUUGGAAAAUAAC
Molecule: long non-coding RNA, 338 nt
Organism: Drosophila santomea
Lineage: Eukaryota; Metazoa; Arthropoda; Insecta; Diptera; Drosophilidae
Exons: 3
Source: RefSeq, a predicted model, not a curated record